Molecule: transfer RNA, 74 nt
Filed under: Subtercola boreus
Lineage: Bacteria; Bacillati; Actinomycetota; Actinomycetes; Micrococcales; Microbacteriaceae
Also listed under: 1 other name
Description: tRNA-Met
Rfam family: tRNA
About the family: Transfer RNA (tRNA) molecules are approximately 80 nucleotides in length. Their secondary structure includes four short double-helical elements and three loops (D, anti-codon, and T loops).
Source: RNAcentral
GGGGCGUUAGCUCAGCUGGUUAGAGCAGCGGACUCAUAAUCCGUCGGUCGCGGGUUCAAGUCCCGCACGCCCUA